Molecule: ribosomal RNA, 468 nt
Filed under: uncultured bacterium
Lineage: Bacteria
Description: partial 16S ribosomal RNA
Rfam family: Bacterial small subunit ribosomal RNA
Source: RNAcentral
GACGAACGCUGGCGGCGUGCCUAACACAUGCAAGUCGAACGGAAAGGCCCUGCUUGCUUGGGGGGCUGGAGCGGCGAACGGGGGGGUAGCACGUGAGUAAACGGCCCGUGAACCUGGGAUAUAAUCAGGAAACUGGGCGUAAUACCGGAGAGGAGAUCCUGCUGCAAGGUGGGUGCUGGAGAGUUUAGGCGGUUGGGGAUGGACUGGCGGGUUAUCAGCAGGUUGGUGGGGUAGUGGCUUACCAAGUCUUGGACGGGUAGCCCGCCUGAGAGGGUGACCGGCCACCUUGGGACUGAGAGACGGCCCAGACUCCUACGGGCGGCAGCAGUGGGGAAUAUUGCACAAUGAGCGCAAGCCUGAUGCAGCAACGCCGCGUGCGGGAUGACGGCCUUCGGGUUGUAAACCGCUUUCGCCUGUGACGAAGCGUGAGUGACGGUAAUGGGUAAAGAAGCACCGGCUAACUACGUG